UUAUACAAUAUUCAUUAGUCAUUUAUUUGGACUAAAAGUAUUCAAUAAAUAAUUCUACUAGAAAUAAACUUUUAAAAACAUAGUUUAAAAGCAUAUAAAACGCAACAAUUAACAAAUGAUUAUUAACAAAUUAUAUAACAAAUAUUAUAAGCGUUAUUAACAAAUGGUUAAAAUAGAAUUAAUCAAGUUAACUUUGUACAUUUAAAUAAACUCUAUAAUCGUAAACAAUAAUUUCACAUCGUACUAUUUAAAAAAAUUUUUUUUAAUAUCUAAAAAUAAUCCUAAAAAAAUUUUUUCCAGAUUUUUAAUAAAAAUUUACAUUAUUAGGUAGGAUAGAUUAAGGCAAAUCGGAUUACAGAAUAAAUCUGAAUAAAUAAAGAUUAAGAACAUAUUCGUUAUAUUCUGGUUGAAGUUUUUAUUCUGGCACGCGAGUUACUUCAUCCCUUUUCCGCAGCAUUUCAAAUCAUAAACCUAGAAACCUUAUCAAUCCAACAAUCUUGAAUUGAUUCUCUUCGGUCUAUACUACAUUAUUAAGAUACAAAUAAUUGUGCUAAUAUUAUAAAAAAAUACAAAUUUUAAUUUUAAAAAAGUAAAAUAAAUCAACUUUCAGGCAUAUUAAUGCCAAUAUUAAAGCAUUUGAAUAGUAUUACAAUAAUUAUGAUUAUCACUAAAGUUAAUAUUACAUAAACUAAAAGGCGUAUAAUGAGAUAAUACAUUCCUAUUAGUAAUCUCCAUAAUUAACAACCUUAAUACUUUGGUUUUGUUAUUUCGAUUUAUCCUAAUCCGGUUACUCAGUUUCAGCACUACAUGCAAAACAGUUUAAAUGAGGCAAAUUGCGGAGAAACGUGAACACUAAUAGUAAUCUAAAGCCGCGGCUGACCUCGCAAUAUUAAUUUGACAUCGCAGUAUUAAUUUGAGUUCGCAGGAAUUCUUAAUAAAAUAUAAUUAUUUCUACGUCAUUGCCACACGAACGGUUCACCAUACCGCGAGCCUGAUCAUCCCAUUGGGCCUAAAAAGUAAUUGAACGCAGACGACAGGAAAUAAAAUUGACCUUAUUGACCGCUCGAACAAUGAUGAAUUUGUUCGCACUUAUUUCUAAUAUCAUUCUCGUUGGGGCCAAAAAGAAAGCAACUUACGAGAAAUACAAAUAUAAUAAAGCGAUUGUUUCGCGAAAGCCGUACAUGCGACCGUUAAUUACACCAUGACAAUCGGCCGGAUAAACGGCGGCGCUUUCAGCGUACCCAGCAGCAACAACGGCCGAAUCAUUCAAAUGACUCGCAGAUUUUAAUGAACAUAAUGUACACUUCCGCUGCGGGGAUAGGGAGUAAAAUCAGCGAUGUAGUUUUCGAACUUCUACCGUACUUCUACAGUCGCAGCUGUGGAGGGGAUAUAGAACUUAUAAGGGCAAGAAUCAAUCGUAUUAAAGAAUCAAUGAGUGCUCAGUGAUUCUUUCGUAAAACUGGUUAAACGGUAUACGAGUUUCAUUUGUAAUUAGAAAUAAGCUUUUAACAGUUUGAUAACUAUAUUCACGUUCAACAAAUCGAAAACAAUUUUCGUGCACUUCUUUUGUUGAAAAGUACAUAACUUGGUGCUCUUCAUAUUAAUUAAAUUAAUUACUUUUCUCAAAAAAUAUAUUGCAACACAAUUUAAAAAAAUUUUUUUAUUUUUUAAGUUUGGUUUCUUUUCGAAAUCAAUAUUGCAAUUGCGUUGCUUGUACGGAGCAACGACGUCAUCAUGCGUAAAAGCAAUCAACCGAGUAAAAUUAAAUUCGCGAACAAAAUAUCGAAAUCUUAAAUUUAGACACGCAGUAUGCGUUCAUCAACUAAUCGAUCAAAGUAUUCGAGCAGCAGAUAAUUCGUUAGACGAAAUAACAAAAAAGUAAUCACGGAUGAAUAUCAGUUAUGAAGCAAACACAGUAAAAGGACACUCAUCUAAAAGAGCGAUUAGGUAGCAGAGACGCAUCCCAGGGAAUCACGUGGGCGAUUGCGAUGGGUGACAUAUGAGCGCGAUGACGAUGAGUGUACGCUGAUGAACGCAACGUAAAUCUAACUGGACUCUCGGAUAACACCGAGAUUAUACUAGCUGUCGCAUGAGAUUUAGUGUGUAUACCGACCAGGUGAUAGUGAUCAUAAUAUGCAACGUAGACUAUCGGUAAACCAACCGACUAGUCUGAUUAUUAACGCAUUCGAAGGAUACAACGUGUAUUUAUUAUCCUUUUUAAUCAAUUAAUUCAUGUGGAUUAUUUUCUUUUAGAAAUAAUCUAAUGCAUUUAUUUAUCUAUACUGAAUGAUCGUAAUUCAAGCGAACGUUGCAGUGAUUCACUCGUUGACUGAUAAAUGGGCACUUUUAUCUGACUGAUAUUGAUAUGUAUUGACUGAUAAAUGUAUAAAUUGCUAUUACGAAUAAAAUUGCAUUUUCUGAGACAAAUUAAAACGAUGAAAAAUUAGAAGGUAAUAAAUAUUACUAGAUCUAUAUUUUUCACCAAUUGAGACUUCUUGCACUUUUUCUUUCGUUUUUUUUUUUUUCUCCAAACCAAUACAUUUUUUUCACAUUAAAUGUAUCACACAUUAAAAAGUAUGACAAAACUCACGUAAAAGAAACUUCAAAAUUUGAUAACAUUUGUUAUCUAAUAAUUAAUAUUCGUCAUAUAAUUAGAAUUUAAAAUAAAUGAGUAAGAUAUUGCAUUUCCGUUGCUAAUAUAAAUGCACAAUGCCGUCAUUAUACACUAGCCAAAACGAUCAAUUGAGUAAAAUUAUAUUCGCGCGAACAAGACACGGUCCAAAUCUUAAAUUAGACACACAGUUUAUAUGUUUAUCAACUAUCGACUAAAGUAUUCGGUCAGCAGGUAAGCUACCGCUAUUGUUAUAUUGCACCUUUCUUACAUACGCUCAAAAUAAGUCAUGGUUAGUCACUCGUACACAAGAAUUCUUAGAAGUUAUACUUUCAUACGAUAGAAAGAAGCCUGCAGCAAAAUGGAGUUGAUUGAUUUAAAAUAUAUCAUUUUUAGUUUGAAAGUAUAAUAAAAAAAAAUUUAUUUUUAAGAGAGCCAAUUUUUAUCGGUAUUAAAAUUAAUAACACUAAAUUUGAAUUAAACGUUACAAAAACAAUGAAUAAGCCAAUCUUUUUAUUAGCUUAUGGACUAAAGUUUUAUUGAACGUAAUUAUGUCUUUAGAAAUUUAGGGAGGAGAAAAACAAAAUAAAAACAAAUUUUAUUGUAUUAAAUUCAUCAAUUUUGAA
Monomorium pharaonis (pharaoh ant) is the source of this 3237-nucleotide long non-coding RNA. RefSeq lists it as uncharacterized. The record is from RefSeq and is a predicted model, not a curated record. The transcript has 2 exons. NCBI's taxonomy places the organism in Eukaryota, Metazoa, Arthropoda, Insecta, Hymenoptera, Formicidae.